UCCGCACCACCAUCGCGCCGCGCGCCUCUCCCUACCGCGAAAAAUCGCCGCGCAUCCCCUCCAUCGUCGCACCUCCCCAACAUCGCCGCGCCAGCGCCCACCAUCGUCACUGCCGCCCAUCGCUCUCCACUGCGCCCCCUCGCCGCCGUGCGCCCUCCCAACCCUAACCCCUGCCGCUCAGGAUCCCCCCUCCCCCGCCUCUCCUCCUCCCCACCGCCGACGACUAGUGCCGACGUUGUCCCCCCCCCCCCCCCCCCCCCCCCCCCCCGCCUUUCCUCCUUCCGCCCACCUGCCACCGACGCCGCCACCCCAGGCAGUGACUCCUCCUCGCCGACGCCGACACUGAAUCCCCCGCCGACAACGCCACCGCCGUUGACGCCUACUCCUGUGGCAAUCUGGAAUUUUUUUCUUCGCCGCCUCUCCGACGACUACCUGCCACCGCCGCCUCAACCGACAUCGCCGAUCCGGUCUCCCGUCGCUGUCCCUCGGCCGCUGAAGUCUCCUCGGACUCCAUCUCAACCGGCAUCACUGCCGCCGCCGCCGUCCCUCCGCUACCAAAAUCGUCACGCAUCGCCGGUCUCCUCCGACAAACUGCUUCGGCGACCUCCUCCUCGGCCUCCGCCUCAACCGCUGCCGAUAUGGAGCCACGCCGUCGUUCCUCCGCCGCCGAAAGGUAUCUUGAACCAAAACAUUCAGACUGAAGCACCUCAUGUGUUUUGUGAUCUUGAACCAAAACAUUCAGCCUGA
This 747-nucleotide long non-coding RNA is filed under the name Oryza sativa Indica Group (long-grained rice). RNAcentral's name for it is "lncRNA OsGoSa_03g0008800". Lineage: Eukaryota; Viridiplantae; Streptophyta; Magnoliopsida; Poales; Poaceae. The record is from RNAcentral.